AAAGGAAGGAGAGCCAAGCACGAAAUACGGUACCGCAGAAAACAAUUUUUGGGCGAAAGAUAAGGAGGAGAGAAUAAAUGUCCUGGGCAGACCAGAAGAAUAGGAAGAAUGAAAAGAUCUCAAAAUGUUGAGAAUUUCUUCCUUAAGAAGGCUAAAAUACAACCAGAAGCAGAGAGCAAUGUCAGGGAAAGGUGGACUGAGCAGCAGUCAUCAUUGUCACCUGUGAGUUCUACAAAUGAAGGACAAGCAUGUUUCAGCAAAAUGGCUUCCUUGGGUCGGUGUAUGAUCCAUCCACCCAUCUAUAGCAUAUUCAGGCUCUGGACUCCUGCAAUCUAAGGAAAAAAAUUCCUAUUUAUGAGCGAGAUACCAGACACCCCUCAGUGGUAAAUUUAUUUCUGCUGCUUGUAUCUGCACUCCCAAUAUUUUAGUCACUAUUUAAAUUUCAUGGGCCUUGUGAGGAAGGGAAGAGAUGAAUCACUAAAUGGACAGCUGUUCCUUCACUCUUAGCACUCUCUUUUUAACAAACAAGAUUAGUACAGAAUUUGCAGACCCUGGACCAAUCCAUUUGUCAGUCUGUUGUUCCAUUUAUUCCUUACUUAUGAACGAGACCCUGAGAUACACUAAAUUGCCAAAAGCUCGUCUGACUUCACACUUAUAUGAACUUGAGUGACGUCCCAUUCUUAACCCAUAGGGUUUAAAAUGUUGGCCUACCAUUUGCAGCUAUAACAGCUUCAACUUUUCAGGAAAGUGUUCCCACAAAGUUUAGGAGUGUGUUUAUGGGAACUUUUGACCAUUCUUCUCGUAAUGCAUUUGUGAGGUCAGACACUGAUGUUGGACAAGAAAAUCUGGCUUGCAGUCUCCACUGUCCUUCCUCAGGAGGCUGAGGUCUUUUAACAUCUGCAGGAAGCUCCUGAGGAUGUUUCACCAGUCGGUGGUUGCUGGAGUACUUUUCUAUGCUGUGGUGUGCUGGGGGAGCAGCACAGCAAAGAAGGACUCAUCCAGGCUGGAAAAACUGAUCAGGAAGGCUGGCUCUGUGGUCGGCAUGAAGCUGGACACUCUGGUGUCAGUGGCAGAGAAAAGGACACUAAAAAAACUGCUGGACAUUAUGGACAAUGCUGGGCAUCCUCUGCACACGGCCAUAAACAACCAGAGGAGUCUGUUCAGUGACAGGUUGCUUCUCCCAAAGACAAGAACCAACAGACUUAAAAACUCCUUUGUCCCACACGCCAUCAGACUGUUUAACUCCUCUCUGGAGGGGAGAGGGAGGGGGGACAGGAGGACAAAGGAGGGGGGAACAACUAAGCUGUAGUGCCUCUUCACUCCACUGUGCAAUACUUUUUGUGCAAUACUUUCUGUUAAUAGUCAACGGUGCAAUAGACUUCAAUACUUGAAAUGUGCAAUUCCCUUGUAUUCUCAUUCCUAUUUAUUCUAUUUAUCCCUCUCGUAUAUUUUAUUUAUAUAUGUCUCUGUAUUUAUAUAUGUGUAUAUAUAUAUAUAUAUAUAAUAUUCUGCUCACGUUCUGUAACUUCUGUCGGUGCUGUGCUUUUGGAAACCGAAUUUCCCAGAGGAACCCACCCGAGGGAUUAAUAAAGUUUUAUC
Oreochromis aureus is the source of this 1599-nucleotide long non-coding RNA. The record is from Ensembl. NCBI's taxonomy places the organism in Eukaryota, Metazoa, Chordata, Actinopteri, Cichliformes, Cichlidae.